GUGGAGGGUCAUUGGAAACUGGGAGACUUGAGUGCAGAAGAGGAAAGUGGAAUUCCAUGUGUAGCGGUGAAAUGCGUAGAAUAUGGUGGAACACCAGUGGCGCAGGCGACUUUCUGGUGCUGUGCUGACACUGAGGCGCGAAAGCGUGGGGAGCAUACAGGAUUAGAUACCCUGGUAGUCCACGCCGUAAACGAUGAGUGCUAGU
Molecule: ribosomal RNA, 205 nt
Filed under: Bacillus cereus
Lineage: Bacteria; Bacillati; Bacillota; Bacilli; Caryophanales; Bacillaceae
Description: partial 16S ribosomal RNA
Rfam family: Bacterial small subunit ribosomal RNA
Source: RNAcentral